AAUGAACGUUGGCGGCGUGGAUUAGGCAUGCAAGUCGCGCGAGAAAUUUCCUUCGGGAAAUGGACAGCGGCGGAAGGGAGAGGAAUAAGUAGAAAUCUGCCCUCGGGACGGGGAUAGCGGUGGGAAACUGCCGGUAAUACCCGAUAACAUCUUUGGAUCAAAUGGUGUGAUUCCGCCUGAGGAUGAGUCUACUUCCUAUUAGCUAGUUGGUGGGGUAAUGGCCUACCAAGGCAACGAUGGGUAGCGGGUGUGAGAGCACGACCCGCCUCACUGGGACUGAGACACUGCCCAGACACCUACGGGUGGCUGCAGUCGAGAAUCUUCGGCAAUGGGGGAAACCCUGACCGAGCGACGCCGCGUGCGGGAUGAAGGCCCUUGGGUUGUAAACCGCCGUCGUAAGGGAACAAAUCUAUAGGGGUACUCCCCUAUGGUUGAGUGAUCUUAGGAGGAAGGACGGGCUAAGUUCGUG
RNAcentral lists this ribosomal RNA (469 nucleotides) under uncultured bacterium. RNAcentral's name for it is "bacterial SSU rRNA". It matches the Rfam family "Bacterial small subunit ribosomal RNA", at positions 29 to 507 of the family's 1533-position model. The record is from RNAcentral.